GCUUACGGCCACACCCUGAGUACGCCUGAUCUCGUCCGAUCUCGGAAGCUAAGCAGGGUCGGGCCUGGUUAGUACUUGGAUGGGAGACCGCCUGGGAAUACCAGGUGCUGUAAGCU
RNAcentral lists this ribosomal RNA (116 nucleotides) under Oncorhynchus mykiss (rainbow trout). The record is from RNAcentral. Lineage: Eukaryota; Metazoa; Chordata; Actinopteri; Salmoniformes; Salmonidae.